This is an RNA transcript of Callorhinchus milii (elephant shark), 2125 nucleotides long. It is a transcript of the gene named E3 ubiquitin-protein ligase TRIM39-like, with no coding region annotated. The transcript has 7 exons. The record is from RefSeq and is a predicted model, not a curated record. Lineage: Eukaryota; Metazoa; Chordata; Chondrichthyes; Chimaeriformes; Callorhinchidae.
AUUCUGAGACAUGACCUUACGAAUGGCCAAAUGUGCUAAACAUCUGUGUUCCUUUUGUCUUCAGGUGUCUGUCCCUUUAAACAGCAGUUGGUCUGUGAUCCCCACCCACACAGCCACUUCCUGGUUUGGGGGAAAGUCCCAAACAGAGCAAAGAGCUGAUGGUGAAAUGGCGUCUGUACAGGAAUUGGAGAACCUGAGAAAUGAAGCCACUUGUUCAAUCUGUCUGGAGUUUUACACAGAUCCCGUGAUUAUAGACUGUGGCCACAACUUCUGCAGAGACUGUAUUUUACAGUGUUGGGGCACAGGGCAAGAAAGUGUGUCCUGUCCACAGUGCAGGCAGCAGAUUCCCCAGAGGGGUGUUCGGCCCAACAGAACUCUGUCUAACAUUGUAGAGAGUGUUCAGAGACUGAGCCUGAAUCCGAGGCUGGAAGAGGUGGGAAUCCAGUGUGAAGAGCAUCAGGAGAAGCUGAAACUGUUUUGUGAAACGGAUCAAAGAGCGAUCUGUGUGGUCUGUGCGAUGUCCCGUGAUCACAAGGAUCACACAGUCAUUCCCAUUAAGGAAGCUGCUGAGCUCCACAAGCAAAAGCUGCAGAAAGCCCUCGAAACCCUUCAAAAACAGUUGGAUGAAAUGUCUCAGUGUCAGAGAGAAGAAGGAGCAGCUCAACUGGAAGUGAAGAGACAAGCCGAGCGUCUGAGGAAGAACAUCGACGCUGAAUUUGCUAAACGUCACCAGCUGCUGACUGAGGAGCAGAGAGACCUGAUUACCAAACUCAGACAGCAGGAGGAGGCCAUCUUAGUGCAAAUAGAACACAAUAAGAGUGACAUUUCCAAGCAAAUUACUUCUAUUAACCAGAGAAUAGCAGAAAUCCAGACAAGACUGACUCUCCAGAACACCGAAUUCCUGAAGGAUAUCAAAUCCAUCAUUGCCAGGUCUGGUGUUGACAUCAAGAAACCCACAAAAGUGUCUGUUGAUGUGGCUGAGAGGGACCUCAUUGGGUCUCUGCAGAGCAGAGAGUGGAAACUCCUGUUAAAGGGCAUCACUGCAGCUCCAGCCUCUCUGACUCUGGAUCCUAACACAGCCCAUCCCCGGCUCAUCCUGUCUGAGGACCGGACCCGAGUGAGACUCGGUGACAGAGAUCUGCAGCUUCCUGACACCCCGGAGAGGUUCAGUUUCUGGCCCAGUGUCCUGGGGUCUGAGGGGUUCACAUCAGGGAGACAUUACUGGGAGGUGGAGGUGGGGAACAGCACAUACUGGACAGUGGGGGUGGCCCGAGAGUCUGUGACCAGGAAGGAGUAUUUCACACAUGGACCUGAGGGUGGAGUCUGGGCUGUGAGGCUGUAUAAUGGGGAAUAUAAAGCUCUAUCCUCACCUCAUACCCCCCUCCCCCUGAGGGUGAGCCCCCGGGUGCUGGGCGUGUACCUGGACUAUGCGGGAGGACAGGUGUCGCUGUACGACGCGGAGCACAUGUCUCAUCUCUUCACUUUCACCCACACGUUCACUGGGAAACUCUUCCCGUACUUCAGCACAUGGUGUCACACUGACCUGACACUGAACCCCCGACACUGACCGCGGGGCCUAUCAGAGCGCGACAGAUCACAUUGACAUCUCGGCGGACCAAUGGGACGAUCCAAUUGAGGGGGCGGGUGUUCAGAAAGGACCAAUGGGGAGCGAGUGGGCGGGAGGGGAGUGACGGUUGGAGGAGGAGAAGCGCGGACAUGGCGGCGGCGGCGGCAGUGAGGGGUUGAGCAGUCGGGGAGGGAGCGGCCCCGAGAGGCGGGACAACUCGGCGCUGAUGGCGGAUCGGGUCAAGCGUUUGGCCAUGGAUAUAGGUGGUGAAUUGGAUAUGGAGGGAGUGGCUGUGAGAGGAGAGAAGUGACGAUAAGUCAAUGGAGACGGAGCAGGAGGUGGUGAAGUGCAGGUUGCGGUUGUCGAGGACAAGGAGCCAUUCCGGGAAGAGGCAGAGGGAAGAUAGAAAUGUGCAGAUGUCCGAGCAAAAUGUGGGGGAGUGUUUAGAGGGAACAGUAAAUAAAGAGGGCUUUGUGGGAAUACUUGGAGAGACGGUGGAGGUUAAGGUACUCAAGAGAGGUGAAGGUUUCGGAGGAGUGAGCGGAUAAGCCGAGUGUG